RNAcentral lists this ribosomal RNA (492 nucleotides) under uncultured bacterium. RNAcentral's name for it is "partial 16S ribosomal RNA". It matches the Rfam family "Bacterial small subunit ribosomal RNA", at positions 29 to 507 of the family's 1533-position model. The record is from RNAcentral.
AGUGAACGCUGGCGGUAGGCCUAACACAUGCCAGUCGAACGGCAGCACAGUAAGAGCUUGCUCUUACGGGUGGCGAGUGGCGGACGGGUGAGGAAUACAUCGGAAUCUACUUUUUCGUGGGGGAUAACGUAGGGAAACUUACGCUAAUACCGCAUACGACCUACGGGUGAAAGCAGGGGAUCUUCGGACCUUGCGCGAUUGAAUGAGCCGAUGUCGGAUUAGCUAGUUGGCGGGGUAAAGGCCCACCAAGGCGACGAUCCGUAGCUGGUCUGAGAGGAGGACCACCAACACUAGACCUGAAACACGGUCCAGACCCCUACGGGAGCCACCAGUGGGGAUGUUUGAACAAUGGGCCCAACCCUGACCCACCAAUCCCGCGGGGUGAAAAAAGGCUUUCGGUUUGUAAACCCUUUUUGUGGGAAAAAAAAACCAGGAGGUUAAUCCCCCCCUGUCCUGACGUUACCAAAAAAAAAAGCACCGACUAACUUCUUC